UGACUAAUUCUCACGCGACACGGGGACCUGUGGCCCAGGGAAAUGAUCGCCGGCGCCAUGUUACUGUUCUCUGCCUUCAUGGGUACCUCCUCCACUCUCUUUAUAGCCACUCUGGAGAAUCCAGUCCACGCCAUCACCAACCAGACAGCCGUCCUGCCCGUCUCCCUGCGAUUCUCUACCCCGCCGGGGGAAUUCUUCCACCUCAAAUGGGAUUUCCUCUCAGGCGACCGCCCCGUCUUAGCCUACGUGAUGAGCAAGUGCAAAGGCAGCGCCCAUGAGUGGUGGCAGCGCUCCUGCCAGCGCGGCGUGAAGGUGGCGAAGGAAUAUCAGCAGCAGGCAAAUGUCUCUCUGCAGAGCGGUUCCCUGGUGAUCCAGCGUGUGCAGCCCACGGACGCUGGGACGUACCGGAUAACAGUGCGAGGCCUGGAUGUGUUUGUCAUGGCAGAGGUGAACCUGACAGUGACUGAAGCAGCUGCACCAACAAACUCGGGAAGAGUAAACGGAGCCAGAUUCAGCCUGGUGCCCAACGCCAUCCGCCUUGGCUUAGCCGGCCUGGUUCUCUGUCUCUUGGGGCUGAUCGUGGGAGAGGUGAGUGAGCCCCGCUGCUGUGGCUGCCUCUGGAGGGCCUGGGGAAAGGGUUGGGUCUCAUACACGAGCCACGCCAGCUCUGUGUAUUGCUCGUUAGGGGGUAUGGACCAGAUCCUCCAGUGGAGUAAACUGGUGUUGGGUUAAAUCCGGCUUUGCAAGGCCUGGAAUGCAAAUAGUGAAACUCCCUUUCUGCUCAAACUCUGCAACCUGAUCAGUGCAUCCUGGGUCUCGACUUUCUCCAUAACUGCUGUUUGGGGAUUGCCGAUAGAUCCUGAGGGGAGAUGCACUUUGGAAAUUAGACAGGAGGGUGUGUGUGAGGGAAGAGAGAGCUAGAUAUGAGGGGUGGGGGCUCUGCCCUGGCUGGGACGGGGAGGGACAGUGUUAAUUUUUUAAAAACAAUUUUUUUUCCACAACGUCCUACAACAAAUAAGAGUCAUUUUUCGCCCCAUGACUCCCUCGGCUGCCGUGGGACUAGGCUGAUCUGCCCCUGCAGCACAUGCAGGGGAGUCAAAUGUGCCUAAUCGCUUUCUCCUCCCCUCCCAGGCAGUUUACAAGCCAGCCGGCUGCUCUCCGCACCACCUGGAGGGAAGCCAAGAGCCAAGAGACGAGCUGGAGACUCUGGCCUGAGCCUCCACAUGCCUGGAUCUGCAGUGCUGAAAAUCCCCCAGCCGUCUAGUCUUGUACCCCGUGGCCAGCACAGGAUGCUUCUGAAGAAAGCAAAACGCCCCCACCCUGCCACACCCGGGGUGCUGGUACGUGGCAGGGGCUGCACUAGAGCGCGGUGUUUGAUCACCCGCCCGGCCCUAGCACAGCCUGGCAGAACGACCACUGGGCCCCAUUAGAGUUUUCUUUCAGCGGCAAUGUGGCCUAGUGGCUAGAGCACUAGACUGGCCCUGCCCUGAGGAGAUCUAGGUUCCGUUCUGCCGCCAGCCUGCUGGUGCCCGUAGCCAAGUCCUGUCCCUGCCCAGUGCCUCAGUUUUCUCAUUUGUUACAAUGAUGCCGACUUGCUUUGUGAAGUGCUUUGAGAUGUGCUGAUGAAGAGAACCAGAUUAAUUAUUAUUAUUUUAGCUCUUUCCCACUAGGUCAGAUACGACCCCAGCUCUGGAGGGGCUCCCCCCUUUUGACAGAAGAACUCCGGACCAGGUUUACAAGGGCCCAGCACUCACCAUUGGGGCCAGAGUUUUCAGUUCCCAAUUAGGCACUUACAUAAGUGGGCCAAAGGUCUCAGUGCCCAUCAUGCACCCAACGCGCUGAGCCCUUUAGACGCUCUCGCCCCGAUGGUGGGAGCCGAGCCCUUCUGACAAUUCCAGCCCUCUACAGGUGACAGCUGCUUAAAUGGGUCAGGUUUUACCUACUGGUGAAAGAGAACUCUUUACCUCUGCCCACUGCACAAAUAUUGGCAACGGUCGUAAAGAUCCAGCUUAGGGUUGCCAAUUUUGUAUGGAUGUGUUCCUGGAGAUUUCAUCACCUGACGUAAUCUUUAAUUAAAGAUUGCUCUUUAAUUUCCUGGAGACUCCAGGAGAACCCUGCAGGGUUGGCAACCCAAUCCACCUGCAUCUGACUCCUGCAGCAGUGAGUUCCACCGGUUGUCUAUACAUUGCCCAAAGUAGUUCCUUGUGUAGGUUCCAAAUUAAUGGCCCCUUCUUUUCAUCUGCUUAUCAGCACUGGAGACAAGAGUCUUUCAUUGCUGUAAUCCAGUGGUUCUCUCAACCUUUCCAGCCACUGUACCCCUUUCAGGAGGCUGACUUGUCUUGUGUACCUCCAAGAUUAAUCUCACUUAAAAACAACUUGCUUACAAAAUCAGACAUAAAAAUACAAAAGUGUCACAGCCACCCUAUUACUGAACAAAUGCUGACUGUCUCAUUUACCAUCUAAUUAUAAAAUAAAUCAACUGGAAUAUAAAUACCA
Molecule: long non-coding RNA, 2496 nt
Filed under: Chrysemys picta bellii (western painted turtle)
Lineage: Eukaryota; Metazoa; Chordata; Testudines; Emydidae
Description: lncRNA (ENSCPBG00000018682.1)
Source: RNAcentral